CUAGCUGGUCUGAGAGGAUGACCAGCCACACUGGAACUGAGACACGGUCCAGACUCCUACGGGAGGCAGCAGUGGGGAAUAUUGCACAAUGGGCGCAAGCCUGAUGCAGCCAUGCCGCGUGUAUGAAGAAGGCCUUCGGGUUGUAAAGUACUUUCAGCGGGGAGGAAGGUGUUGUGGUUAAUAACCGCAGCAAUUGACGUUACCCGCAGAAGAAGCACCGGCUAACUCCGUGCCAGCAGCCGCGGUAAUACGGAGGGUGCAAGCGUUAAUCGGAAUUACUGGGCGUAAAGCGCACGCAGGCGGUCUGUCAAGUCGGAUGUGAAAUCCCCGGGCUCAACCU
This 340-nucleotide ribosomal RNA is filed under the name Salmonella enterica. RNAcentral's name for it is "bacterial SSU rRNA". It matches the Rfam family "Bacterial small subunit ribosomal RNA", at positions 283 to 615 of the family's 1533-position model. The record is from RNAcentral. Lineage: Bacteria; Pseudomonadati; Pseudomonadota; Gammaproteobacteria; Enterobacterales; Enterobacteriaceae.